RNAcentral lists this transfer RNA (75 nucleotides) under Deltaproteobacteria bacterium. RNAcentral's name for it is "tRNA-Glu". It matches the Rfam family "tRNA". From Rfam's summary of the family: Transfer RNA (tRNA) molecules are approximately 80 nucleotides in length. Their secondary structure includes four short double-helical elements and three loops (D, anti-codon, and T loops). Further hydrogen bonds mediate the characteristic L-shaped molecular structure. tRNAs have two regions of fundamental functional importance: the anti-codon, which is responsible for specific mRNA codon recognition, and the 3' end, to which the tRNAs corresponding amino acid is attached (by aminoacyl-tRNA synthetases). tRNAs cope with the degeneracy of the genetic code in two manners: having more than one tRNA (with a specific anti-codon) for a particular amino acid; and 'wobble' base-pairing, i.e. permitting non-standard base-pairing at the 3rd anti-codon position. Lineage: Bacteria; Pseudomonadati; Myxococcota; Myxococcia. The record is from RNAcentral.
GACCCCAUCGUCUAACGGUCAGGACUCCGGAUUUUCAUUCCGGCAACACGGGUUCGAUUCCCGUUGGGGUCGCCA